Molecule: long non-coding RNA, 6516 nt
Filed under: Homo sapiens (human)
Lineage: Eukaryota; Metazoa; Chordata; Mammalia; Primates; Hominidae
Description: HSALNT0316801
Source: RNAcentral
CACUGACGGACCAGGGAGGGGUCCGCGCCGAGACCCGCCUCCGAACCAGGCCCCACCUCCUGAGCCAGGCCCCCGCCCCCGAUUCUGACUCCGCCCUCUCUGUCCUUCGGUGGAGACUCCGGGAAAAACCUGCCUCCCAGUCUGCCCUCUCUCCGUCUGUCUGUGCUUGUUUUUCUACGUUUAUCCCUGUCGCUUUCCCCACUUAUUCUGCAGGCAUGGCGCGCCCCCAGUGCCGGCUUGGUGCCAGGGCUGGGAGAUCCGGGGGUGAAUCGUGAGCCCGGCCCACAGCGAGCUUGCAGUCUAGAGAUCAAGGCAGUCUUGUCCACAACCUGCUGUCACAUAAAGCAAAUGUAGCUGGUGUAGCACCAGGGGCUGCAAUCAAGUGCGGUGGGGCGGCAAUAGUGACCACGGAAAUAAUCAGAAUUGCUUUUAAUUCAGCUCCUACUAUAUUCCCGCAUCCCUGAGCCUCACAAUCAUCCUCCAAGGUAGGUAUUUUUGUCUUUCUCUAACAGAUGAAAACUCUGAGUUUCAGAAGAAUUAAAUGACAUCCCCCCAAAAGAGAGACAGUAUAAGAAUCCAAGUCAACCUGAGUCCAAAACCAGUGGCCCUUAACACUGUGUGGCUUUAUGGAGGACAUGGAGUUUAAGUUUACCUUCAAGGAUGAGCAACACUUUUCUUCAAGCAGAAAAAGAAGGGAAUGGGUGAACACGGUCCCAGGAUGUUCGCUUUGGCAGAUGAUUAGAAUACGUGCUGACUUGAUAGCCACAACUGUCCUGAUAAGAAAGUACGCCGGCCUGGCUGGGCAUGGUGGCUCACGCCUGUAAUCCGAGGAUUUUGGGAGGCCCAGGCGGGCGGAUCACUUGAUGUCAGGAGUUCGAGACCAGCCUGUCCAACAUGGUGAAACCCCGUCUGUACUAAAAAUACAAUAAUUAGCCGAGCAUGAUGGCAUGUGCCUGUAAUCCCAGCUACUCGGGAGGCUGAGGCACGAGAAUCGCUUGAACCUGGAAGGCAGAGGUUGCAGUUACUUUCCCGACAUUGCACCACUGCACUCCAGCCUUGGCGACAAGAGCGAAAUUUUGUCUCAAAAAAGAAAGAAAGAAAGCACUCAGGCCUGACCCAGGACCACAGCAGUGGACAUGGAGGGAGGAGGCUGGGGGUAGUUGGAUUGGUAUGAUAUGUCACUGAGUAAACGAAGGAAGGGACAGAAAGAGAACUCCAAAGUGUCAAAAGCCUGGACAACAGAGAGAAAGCAUCCUUGUCCUAUCAUUUAAAGCACCUGUUGGGCCAAAUAGGGAGCACCUUUCAGAAUCCAUGUGCACAAGAUCUCAGCAAUUCUACGUCCAAGAAUGUAACCUACAUCCAAGAAUGUACUGGAAUUUAAUUCCACAUCCAAGAAUCCCCAUAGGUAGCAAAGAUGUAUAUUUAAGGGUAUUCUCUCAGCUUUGUUUUUAUGUUAGGAGAUUGGGAACAACCUAAAUGCCCAUCAGCUGGUGACUGGCUAGGUUAACUAUUCACAAAUGGAAUACUAGGUAGCCUCCUAAAAGAGGAAAGCAAUUCUACAUAUCCUGAUACAGUGUGGUCACCAGAUAGAUGGCUAAGAUACAAAUAAAACAAACAAGUUGCAGUGUUAGAGUAUGCUAUGUAUCACUCCUUUUUAAGGACAAAAAGAGGAUAUACUUUAACUUUUUAAGAUACCAAAGUAUUUAUUUAUUUAAAAUUUUUUUCACAGAAUUGUUAUAGCAUGUAGAACCAAAAAUUAUUUACAAAUGAAAUUAUUCAAUGUCUGAGAUUUGUGUCAAAAUAAUGGUAUGGGGGUUUAGUGAGUAAGCAUGUAGGUAGAACAAGAUUGUCCAUGAGCUGAUAGUUGUUGAAGCUGGGUGAUCACCUGGGUGUUUUAUACUAUUUGGGUGUUAAACUAUUUUUUUUUCUAUUCUUGUGUAUGUGUCAAAUUUCCACUUAAGAAAAUGGGGGAAAAUGGUGUCAGCCCUCCAUUCCAGCUGAACACACCAUGUUAGUUCAUGCCCCAUCACACCACUCUUCUAGCCAUCUGUCAAUCUUCUCUGCCUGGCAAAUUUCUACUCUUUCAUCAGGACCCAGGAUAAUUAUCACCUUCUCUGAGAGGGCUUUUCCAACCCCUAUAGUCAGAAUCAUUCCUUCUCUAUGCUUGGGGCCCCCUGAGAAAUGUCUCUAAUCCUGUCACAAAUACAUAUUCCAGUGUCAUUAUCCAUCUCCCUAGUAGACAGUGAACAUUUCCAUCAAUGAGACAAUGUCUCAACUAUCUUCUUUCUGUCUCAACCCUUAACCCUGGCACUUAAUACUUGUUUGUUAAAUUCAUGGGUCAGGUCUAGUGAAGACAAUGAUUAGUUGUUUGGUUUGAUACAUACUGACCUUGAGAAGUCAAAGGGAUAUAGGAGGAGAGAAAGUGAAUGAGGAACUGAUGUUACUGAGCCUGUGCUAGGAGACUGCUGGGGCAAGGAAUAGAGUGAGGAGAAAGGAGGCAAGGCUCCUGCUGGCAAGGACCUCACUUUCAUUUCAGCUGGGGAAGAGCAUGGAAAGAUGUCAUUCUAGAGCAUGGUAAGUGCCAUGGAUGAAAUAGACAAGGCAAAACUUAUUCCACUUCAGCAAAGCGAGUGUCAAUAUUCUACUUAUGGAUGAGUGGAUGAACACAUGUUCAGAUGAAAUCACUUGUGCAAAGUUUACAGCUGUUAGUGCUGAACAGGAACAAGCCUUUGUCUGCCAUCAUGUGCGGCCAUGCUUUUUCCUCUGCCCUUCACUGCCAUUCGACAUGCAGGUGACACUCUGGAGCUCGGACCGAACAUUCAGAUUUGGAGGUCAUUCUACAGGAGAUAGUUGAAAUGAGGGGAGGGGAGAAGGUCUCCUAGAAACCACAAGAGAGGGAAAGUAACAGCAGCUGACUUUCAUUGAGUACUUAGUACACUCCAGACCCCAUACUAAGCAUUUUUUUUUUUGAGAUGGAGUCUCGCUCUGUUGCCCUGGCUGGAGUGCAGUGGUGCAAUCUCGGCUCACUGCAACCUCCUCCUCUUGGGUUCAAGCGAUUCUCCUGCCUCAGCCUCCCAAGUAGCUGGGACUACAGGUGUGUGCCACCACGCCCAGCUAAUUUUUUGUAUUUUUAGUAGAGCCAGCAUUUCAUCGUGUUAGUCAGGAUGGUCUUGAUCUCCUGACCUCAUGAUCUGCCCGCCUCAGUCUCCCAAAGUGCUGGGAUUACAGGCGUGAGCCACCGCACCUGGCCCAUACUAAGCCUUUUACACUUUUAAAAGUAAAAGUGAAAUCACUUUGCACAAGUGAUUUCAUCUGAACAUGUGUUCCUCCACUCAUCCAUAAGUAGAAUAUUGACACUUGCUUUGCUGAAGUGGAAUAAGUUUUGCCUUGUCAAUUUGUUUAUUUAUUUAUUUAUUUAUUUAUUUAUUUAUUUAUUCUAUUAUAUAUUUAUUUAUUCCAUAUAACAACCCUCAUUAAGUAGGAACUCUUUUUUGAGGGACAGGGUAUUACUGUGUUGCCCAGGCUAGUCUUGAACUUCUGGCCUGUGGUGUUCCUCCUGCCUUGGCCCCACAGAGUGCUGAGAUUACAGGCUUCAGCCACCAUGCCCGGUCUAAAGUAGGAACUCUUAACAGUCCCACAUUUAUAGCCUGGGAAAAUGAAGCUUAGGAAGAAUGAAGUCAACAGAGCAACAGAGGUCACACACCUCGCAAACAGCAGAGCCCAAAUGUCUUACCAUGCACUACCCUUUUGAGAAAGAAGACUGAAAUCAGGAGCCUGGUAAGGAAAUGGUGGAAACAGUGAAAGAGAACAAGAUGCACUGUUUCAUUUGUGAGAUGAGAAACAGAAAAAAAGAAAUGUCCUGAGAGCCCAAGAAAGACUGUUAGGAAAGGAACUGGGGCAAGUGUCAGAGUCCAUGGAGAAACCCAGCAGGGAAACCUGAGGGUCAUGGCAAUUGGCCAACACGAGGCGAUAAGGGACCUUUGAUGGAGCUAUUUUUGGUGGUGCUAACCUUCUUUGCUACAGGCUCACAACUGGAGCAUCUGCUUGCUUCCUCUGACCUGCCCCCUGGACUCAUGUUGUCAUUCUUCUCGCUCAACCUGUCUGCCUAGGGAAGAAGCCCUGGACUGUGUUUCCCCAAUCUCAGUAUUCCCAACCCUCCUGGCCCCCAACCCAGUACCUGCAGAGCUGACUCUAACCACCCAGUGCACCUCCCGCAGGCUGCAGCAGCCCCCAUCGAGGCCACUCAUUUACAGCACAGGCCCACACAGUCUGACAAAGGACAGCUGCAAUCCUCUGUCAACUGCAGUCCUUUCCCAGGCACAUGCUGGAUUGGGAAACAGGUGGGAGAAAAGAACAGGUAAGACGUUCCUGUGGGAGUGAGUUAGCCUGGCAUUUACUGUGCCUCUUUGUGAAGAGCAGCCAACCUUUUCUGGCUUAAUCAGACUUGCCUAGAGCACUUGAAAAGAAUAGCUCUGAAGUCCAUGUGAUUUUGCUUCCCCACCCCCACCCCAACCAUGACUGAUUGGAACUGGAUAGAUGUCUUCCUCAGGAGGAGGAGCCAAGGGCUGUUUCCUGUCCCUGGACUUUGGAAUUGGGCCACCUAGUCAGUGAGUGGCCAAGAACCCAAUGAGGCUGCCCCAUGAAGGGAGCUGAGCUCAGUCAAAGAGAUUCAUGGCAGAGCACUAGGGUUAAUAAAGGCCCACGAACUCUUGUUGCUGAAGGCUCUAGGGCUGCCCCAUCCCUGCCCUUCCUGAGAUUUGGUGGAUCACCUCUUCCUGGGUUUCCACAAGUCCUCUCUCUCUCUCUCAAUAACCUAUUAAAUUGGGGUGUGAGUGGAUUCCUGUCCCUUGCAUCCAAAGUCUCCUUGGCUAUAAUGGAGUUCUAUAGGAAUGAGAGCAAGGGGCAGGAGCCCAAGGGUAGGAGGUUCUAAGUUUAGGACUUUAGAAAUAACAUUGUUAAGUGUGUUGAUGUCUAAGUCAGAAUGGAGGUGAUUCCCUCAAGUUUCUAAGCAUCAUCCAUUCCAUUCUGUCCAACAGACAUUUAUCAAGCACCUACUCUGUGCCUAGCAUUGUGCUAGGUGCUAGAGAGCCAAAAAUAAAUAGCAGCUGCUCUUGUGGAGGUCACAGUCUUGGAGGAGUUAAAGACACGGAAACAAAUUACAACACAGCGUAACAGCAGUGACAGAAGCACGUAUGAUAUGGUUUGACUGUGGCCCCACCAAAUCUCAUCCUGAAUUGUAGUUCCCAUAAUCCCCACUUGUGGUGGGAGGGGCCCAGUCGGAGGUAAUUGAAUCAUAAGGGUAGUUUCCCCCAUGUUAUUCUCGUGAUAGUGAGUUCUCAUGAGAUCUGAUGGUUUUAUAAGGGGCUUCCCCCUUCACUCAGCUCUCAUUCUUCUCUCUCCUGCCACCAUGUAAAGAAGGAUGUGUUUGGUUUCCCUUCCAUCACGAUUGUAAGUUUCCUGAGGCCUCCUCAGCCAUGUGGAACUGUGAGUCAAUUAAAUCUCUUUCCUUUAUAAAUUACCCAGUCUUGGGUAUUUCUUCAUAGCAGCCUGAGAAGGGACUAAUACAACAUACGAAGUUGGCAGCAAAGUGAGUGGUGGAAAGGAGAGUCAUGGAAAAGCAAACAAGGGAGGGUUAUAACUACAGCUUGGCAUCCUCCACUAAUGUUGUAAGGUCCUGGAGCAUUUUGGCAAUGGUGCUAAAAUGAGGAUGUAAGGACAAAAUCCCCUAGAUUUUCGACAGGUGAGCUUGUGAGGUGUUGGGACCACCUGGAAGAUGUGAUAAGAAGUGACAAAGGGGCAGGGUGUAGUGGCUCACACCUAUAAUCCCAGCACUUUGGGAGGCCAAGGCAGGCAGAUCUCCGGAGUUCAGGAGUUUGAGACCAGCCUGGCCAACAUGGUGAAACCCUGUCUCUACUAAAAAUACAAAAAUUAGCUGGGCAUGGUGGCAUGUGCCUGCAAGCCCAGCUACUCGGGAGGCUGAGGCAGAAUAGCUUGAACCCAUGAGGUGGAGGUUGCAGUGAACUGAGAUCAGGUCACUGCACUCCAGCUGGGCAACAGAGCAAGACUCCAUCUCAAAAAAAAAAAAAAGUGACAAAGGAGCCAACUUCUCUCUUUUCCAGGAAGUCUGGGAAAUGGGCUAUUGGCCUCCAAAGAUAAUGGAGACAAUAGUAAUGAAGGUGUCUGGGAGAAAAGUCUAAGGCACAGAAGGUUAGGCACCCUCAUGGAAACAGACUAUGGCUAGGGUGGAGGGCAAGUCUUUACUCACAACUGAACAUGGUUCCAUGGGGCUCAGAAAAUAACAAAGAGUGUUCAUUUAAUAAAUGUUUCCUGAAAGCAGACUAUAUGGUAAGCACAUGGCUCCUGCCUUGCAGAGCAGUCUAGUGGAGAAGACAGAUAUUUAUCAAAUAAUCAGGCAAAUAAAAUAAAAAAAACAGGCUGGGUGCGGUGGCUCACGCCUGUAAUCCCAGCACUUUGGGAGACCGAAGCAGGCAGAUCACUUGAGGUCAGGAGUUUGAC